Non-coding RNA from Triticum urartu, 131 nucleotides. The record is from Rfam. NCBI's taxonomy places the organism in Eukaryota, Viridiplantae, Streptophyta, Magnoliopsida, Poales, Poaceae.
CCGAUCCAGAGAUCGUCUCCAAAAUUCUCGCCGGACUGGACAUGGAAUAUAGCCCUGUUGUCUCGGCGCUUGCUGCUCGGGUGGAACCGAUCACGGUUCAGGAGCUCUAAGCCAGCUCCUGAGCUUUGAUG